AGCGAACGCUGGCGGCAGGCUUAACACAUGCAAGUCGAACGGUCCUUCGGGAUAGUGGCGGACGGGUGAGUAACACGUGGGAACGUGCCUUUAGGUUCGGAACAACACAGGGAAACUUGUGCUAAUACCGGAUGUGCCCUUCGGGGGAAAGAUUUAUCGCCUUUAGAGCGGCCCGCGUCUGAUUAGCUUGUUGGUGAGGUAAUGGCUCACCAAGGCGACGAUCAGUAGCUGGUCUGAGAGGAUGACCAGCCACAUUGGGACUGAGAUACGGCCCAAACUCCUACGGGAGGCAGCAGUGGGGAAUCUUGCGCAAUGGGCGAAAGCCUGACGCAGCCAUGCCGCGUGAAUGAUGAAGGUCUUAGGAUUGUAAAAUUCUUUCACCGGGGACGAUAAUGACGGUACCCGGAGAAGAAGCCCCGGCUAACUUCGUGCCAGCCGCCGCAGUAA
This 447-nucleotide ribosomal RNA is filed under the name uncultured bacterium. RNAcentral's name for it is "partial 16S ribosomal RNA". It matches the Rfam family "Bacterial small subunit ribosomal RNA", at positions 29 to 523 of the family's 1533-position model. The record is from RNAcentral.